GGAAUUUUGGGCAAUGGGCGAAAGCCUGACCCAGCAACGCCGCGUGAAGGAUGAAAUCCCUCGGGAUGUAAACUUCGCAAGAACGGGAAGAAUAAGUAAGAGCUAACAUCUCUUACGAUGACGGUACUGUUUGUAAGCCCCGGCUACCUCCGUGCCAGCCGCCGCGGUAAUACGGGGGGAGCAAGCGUUGUUCGGAUUUACUGGGCGUAAAGGGCUCGUAGGCGGCCAACUAAGUCGGAUGUGAAAUCCCCAGGCUCAACCUGGGAACUGCAUCCGAUACUGGAUGGCUUGAAUUCGGGAGAGGGAUGCAGAAUUCCAGGUGUAGCGGUGAAAUGCGUAGAUAUCUGGAGGAAUACCGGUGGCGAAGGCGGCAUCCUGGACCGACAUUGACGCUGAGGAGCGAAAGCUAGGGGAGCAAA
Molecule: ribosomal RNA, 419 nt
Filed under: uncultured bacterium
Lineage: Bacteria
Description: bacterial SSU rRNA
Rfam family: Bacterial small subunit ribosomal RNA
Source: RNAcentral